RNAcentral lists this transfer RNA (77 nucleotides) under Candidatus Gracilibacteria bacterium CG17_big_fil_post_rev_8_21_14_2_50_48_13. RNAcentral's name for it is "tRNA-Arg". It matches the Rfam family "tRNA". From Rfam's summary of the family: Transfer RNA (tRNA) molecules are approximately 80 nucleotides in length. The record is from RNAcentral. Lineage: Bacteria; Candidatus Altimarinota.
GCCCGCAUAGCUCAGUUGGAUAGAGCAGUGCCCUUCUAAGGCAAAGGUCGAUGGUUCGAAUCCAUCUGCGGGUACCA